Molecule: ribosomal RNA, 447 nt
Filed under: uncultured bacterium
Lineage: Bacteria
Description: bacterial SSU rRNA
Rfam family: Bacterial small subunit ribosomal RNA
Source: RNAcentral
UGGGGAAUCUUGGACAAUGGGCGCAAGCCUGAUCCAGCCAUGCCGCGUGAGUGAAGAAGGCCUUAGGGUUGUAAAACUCUUUCGCCGGAGAAGAUAAUGACGGUAUCCGGAGAAGAAGCCCCGGCUAACUUCGUGCCAGCAGCCGCGGUAAUACGAAGGGGGCUAGCGUUGUUCGGAAUUACUGGGCGUAAAGCGCACGUAGGCGGGUCUGUAAGUAGAGGGUGAAAUCCCAGGGCUCAACCCUGGAACUGCCUUCUAGACUGCAGGCCUGGAGGUCAGGAGAGGCGAGCGGAAUUCCGAGUGUAGAGGUGAAAUUCGUAGAUAUUCGGAGGAACACCAGUGGCGAAGGCGGCUCGCUGGACUGAUACUGACGCUGAGGUGCGAAAGCGUGGGGAGCGAACAGGAUUAGAUACCCCAGUAGUCCCUGAGCGGGCUGGCAAGGCGCAU